CACGUAGGGGACGAGCGUUGUCCGGAUUCAUUGGGCGUAAAGCGCGCGUAGGCGGCUCGGCAAGUCGGUCGUGAAAUGCCGGGGCUCAACCCCGGGACUGCGUCCGAUACUCUCGAGCUGGAGGCAGGUAGGGGAGAUCGGAAUUCCUGGUGUAGCGGUGAAAUGCGCAGAUAUCAGGAGGAACACCGGUGGCGAAGGCGGAUCUCUGGGCCGAUACUGACGCUGAGGAGCGAAAGCGUGGGGAGCAAACAGG
This 253-nucleotide ribosomal RNA is filed under the name uncultured bacterium. RNAcentral describes it as "partial 16S ribosomal RNA". It matches the Rfam family "Bacterial small subunit ribosomal RNA", at positions 524 to 776 of the family's 1533-position model. The record is from RNAcentral.